GAGUUCAAUAGUACGUGAAACCGUUCAGGGGUAAACCUGAGAAGCCCGAAAGGUCGAAAGAGGAGAUUCAGCGUGUCUCGACGGUGGCGUUGGACGGUCGCGAGACGGAAGGCGCACGCGUCGUCCGCUCCUUCCGUUCUUCGAACCGCCGUGGAACGCGUGCACUUCUCCUCCUGUAGGACGUUGCGAUCCGUUGGGUGCCGGUCUAAGGCCCGCGGUGGAGCCCGUCCGGACGGUUCGCCGUUCCGGACGAACCCGCGGUGUUUCCCGAUCGGCUCGCUCGACGGUAUACAUAUGGCGCGAGGCCGCUACACAUACAGUUAGCGUCCGACCCGUGGCAAGCGCGCUCGUCGUGAUGGUGAUCGGACCUGGUGCCGGUCCUGUCCCCGAGUGGCUGUUCGCUGUGGAGUUCUCGGACAGACCUCGUUGAAACGCCGAUCUGCGACGCUAUAGCUUUGGGUACUUUCAGGACCCGUCUUGAAACACGGACCAAGGAGUCUAGCAUGUGCGCGAGUCAUUGGGACAUGACUAAACCUAAAGGCGCAAUGAAAGUGAAAGUCCGCCUCGCGCGGACCGAGGGAGGAUGGGUGGCAGUUACGGCUGUCGCUCCGCACUCCCGGGGCGUCUCGUUCUCAUUGCGAGAAGAGGCGCACCAACAGCGUACACGCUGGGACCCGAAAGAUGGUGAACUAUGCCUGGUCAGGACGAAGUCAGGGGAAACCCUGAUGGAGGUCCGUAGCGAUUCUGACGUGCAAAUCGAUCGUCGGAACUGGGUAUAGGGGCGAAAGACUAAUCGAACCAU
RNAcentral lists this ribosomal RNA (802 nucleotides) under Physadesmia globosa. RNAcentral's name for it is "eukaryotic LSU rRNA". It matches the Rfam family "Eukaryotic large subunit ribosomal RNA", at positions 385 to 943 of the family's 3401-position model. Lineage: Eukaryota; Metazoa; Arthropoda; Insecta; Coleoptera; Tenebrionidae. The record is from RNAcentral.